GUGAGACCAUUUUUUUACAAUUGAAAUUUCACAACAAAACACUGUGAAGGUAAAAGAAAUCCGAACUUUCACAGUGUUUGGCUGUGAAGUUUCAAGUGUAAAAAAGUGGUUUCACG
This 116-nucleotide microRNA precursor is filed under the name Cynara cardunculus (cardoon). RNAcentral's name for it is "miR6112 stem-loop (cca-MIR6112)". Lineage: Eukaryota; Viridiplantae; Streptophyta; Magnoliopsida; Asterales; Asteraceae. The record is from miRBase by way of RNAcentral.